CCUACGGGUGGCAGCAGUCGAGAAUCAUUCACAGUGGGGGAAACCCUGAUGGUGCGACGCCGCGUGGGGGAAUGAAGGUCUUCGGAUUGUAAACCCCUGUCAUGUGGGAGCAAAUUAAAAAGAUAGUACCACAAGAGGAAGAGACGGCUAACUCGGUGCCAGCAGCCGCGGUAAUACAGAGGUCUCAAGCGUUGUUCGGAAUCACUGGGCGUAAGGCGUGCGUAGGCUGUUUCGUAAGUCGUGUGUGAAAGGCGCGGGCUCAACCCGCGGACGGCACAUGAUACUGCGAGACUAGAGUAAUGGAGGGGGAACCGGAAUUCUCGGUGUAGCAGUGAAAUGCGUAGAUAUCGAGAGGAACACUCGUGGCGAAGGCGGGUUCCUGGACAUUAACUGACGCUGAGGCACGAAGGCCAGGGGAGCGAAAGGGAUUAGAUACCCUGGUAGUC
This 446-nucleotide ribosomal RNA is filed under the name uncultured bacterium. RNAcentral's name for it is "partial 16S ribosomal RNA". It matches the Rfam family "Bacterial small subunit ribosomal RNA", at positions 338 to 795 of the family's 1533-position model. The record is from RNAcentral.